This 403-nucleotide ribosomal RNA is filed under the name uncultured bacterium. RNAcentral describes it as "partial 16S ribosomal RNA". It matches the Rfam family "Bacterial small subunit ribosomal RNA", at positions 28 to 526 of the family's 1533-position model. The record is from RNAcentral.
GACGAACGCUGGCGGCGUGCCUAAUACAUGCAAGUCGAACGCAGUGGGGACGGGUGAGUAACACGUGGGUAACCUCCCAUCAGAGGGGAUAAAACUUGGCAACAGGUGCUAAACCGAUACUGAUGGAUGGACCCGCGGUGCAUUAGCUAGUUGGUGGGGUAACGGCUCACCAAGGCCAUGAUGCAUAGCCGCGCUGAGGGUGUGAUCGGCCAAACUUGUACUGAGACACGGCCCAGACUCCAACGGUAGGCAGCAGUAGGGAAUCUUCGGCAAGGGACGAAAGUCUGACCGAGCAAUGCCGCGUGAGUGAAGAAGGUUUUCGGAUCGUAAAACUCUGUUGUUAGAGAAGCGGUAUCUAACCAGAAAGCCACGGCUAACUACGUGCCAGCAGCCGCGGUAAUUC